This 253-nucleotide ribosomal RNA is filed under the name uncultured bacterium. RNAcentral describes it as "partial 16S ribosomal RNA". It matches the Rfam family "Bacterial small subunit ribosomal RNA", at positions 524 to 776 of the family's 1533-position model. The record is from RNAcentral.
UACGUAGGUGGCAAGCGUUGUCCGGAUUUAUUGGGUUUAAAGGGUGCGUAGGCGGUCUAUUAAGUCAGUGGUGAAAUAUGGCAGCUUAACUGUCAAGGUGCCAUUGAUACUGAUGGACUUGAGUGAAGUCGAGGUUGGCGGAAUUGACGGUGUAGCGGUGAAAUGCUUAGAUAUCGUCAAGAACACCGAUAGUGAAGACAGCUACCUAGGCUUAUACUGACGCUGAGGCACGAAAGUGUGGGGAUCAAACAGG